RNAcentral lists this ribosomal RNA (253 nucleotides) under uncultured bacterium. RNAcentral describes it as "partial 16S ribosomal RNA". It matches the Rfam family "Bacterial small subunit ribosomal RNA", at positions 524 to 776 of the family's 1533-position model. The record is from RNAcentral.
UACGUAGGGUGCAAGCGUUAAUCGGAAUUACUGGGCGUAAAGCGUGCGCAGGCGGUAAUGUAAGACAGUUGUGAAAUCCCCGGGCUCAACCUGGGAACUGCAUCUGUGACUGCAUUGCUGGAGUACGGUAGAGGGGGAUGGAAUUCCGCGUGUAGCAGUGAAAUGCGUAGAUAUCUGGAGGAACACCGGUGGCGAAGGCGGCAUCCUGGACCGAUAUUGACGCUGAUGCGCGAAAGCCAGGGGAGCAAACGGG